AUGUUCUUACAACCGAUGCCUUU
RNAcentral lists this unclassified non-coding RNA (23 nucleotides) under Dictyostelium discoideum. The record is from RNAcentral. Lineage: Eukaryota; Evosea; Eumycetozoa; Dictyosteliales; Dictyosteliaceae.